GACGAACCGUGCGAACGUUAUUCGGAAUCACUGGGCUUAAAGCGCGUGUAGGCGGGUCGGUACGUCGGCCGCUGAAAGCCCCCGGCUCAACCGGGGAACGGGCGCCGAUACGGCCGGCCUGGAGGGGGGUAGGGGGACCUGGAACUUCCGGUGGAGCGGUGAAAUGCGUUGAGAUCGGAAGGAACGCCCGUGGCGAAAGCGAGGUCCUGGACCCCUUCUGACGCUGAGACGCGAAAGCCAGGGGAGCGAACGGG
Molecule: ribosomal RNA, 254 nt
Filed under: uncultured bacterium
Lineage: Bacteria
Description: partial 16S ribosomal RNA
Rfam family: Bacterial small subunit ribosomal RNA
Source: RNAcentral